AUACGGAGGAUGCGAGCGUUAUCCGGAUUUAUUGGGUUUAAAGGGUGCGUAGGCUGUGCGUUAAGUCAGGGGUGAAAUGCCGGCGCUCAACGUCGGGGCUGCCCUUGAUACUGGCGUGCUGGAGUGCGGAUGCCGCCGGAGGAAUGAGUGGUGUAGCGGUGAAAUGCUUAGAUAUCACUCAGAACACCGAUUGCGAAGGCAUCUGGGAAAUCCGCUACUGACGCUGAGGCACGAAAGCGUGGGGAUAGAACAGUAUAAGAUCCCCUGGUAUUCCACGCCGUAAACGAUGAUGGCUAACCGCCGGCGACACAAUGUCGGUGGCCAAGCGAAAGCGAUAAGCCAUCCACCUGGGGAGUACGACCGCAAGGUUGAAACUCAAAUGAAUUGACGGGG
This 393-nucleotide ribosomal RNA is filed under the name uncultured bacterium. Its description in RNAcentral is "partial 16S ribosomal RNA". It matches the Rfam family "Bacterial small subunit ribosomal RNA", at positions 523 to 918 of the family's 1533-position model. The record is from RNAcentral.